This 539-nucleotide ribosomal RNA is filed under the name uncultured bacterium. RNAcentral describes it as "bacterial SSU rRNA". It matches the Rfam family "Bacterial small subunit ribosomal RNA", at positions 777 to 1321 of the family's 1533-position model. The record is from RNAcentral.
AAUAGAUACCCGGGUAGUCCACGCCCUAAACGAUGAAUACUCGAUGUUGGCGAUAUACGGUCAGCGUCUAAGCGAAAGCGUUAAGUAUUCCACCUGGGGAGUACGCCCGCAAGGGUGAAACUCAAAGGAAUUGACGGGGGCCCGCACAAGCGGAGGAGCAUGUGGUUUAAUUCGAUGAUACGCGAGGAACCUUACCCGGGCUUGAAAGUUAGUGAAUAAAGCAGAGACGCUUUAGUCCUUCGGGACACGAAACUAGGUGCUGCAUGGCUGUCGCCAGCUCGUGCCGUGAGGUGUUGGGUUAAGUCCCGCAACGAGCGCAACCCCUAUGUUUAGUUGCCAGCAUGUAAUGAUGGGGACUCUAAACAGACUGCCUAUGCAAAUAGAGAGGAAGGAGGGGACGACGUCAAGUCAUUAUGGCCCUUACGUCCGGGGCUACACACGUGCUACAAUGGAUGGUACAGAGGGCAGCUACCUGGUAACAGGAUGCCAAUCUCCAAAAGCCAUUCACAGUUCGGAUCGGGGUCUGCAACUCGACCCGU